AGCGCCGUUGAUACUGUGAAGCUAGGAUUUGGUUGCUGUGGGCGGAAUGUGUGGUGUAGCGGUGAAAUGCAUAGAGAUCACACAGAAUAUCGAUUGCGAAGGCAGCUCACAAAGCCAAUAUUGACGCUGAGGCACGAAAGUGUGGGGAUCAAACAGGAUUAGAUACCCUGGUAGUCCACACUGUAAACGAUGAUAACUCGCUGUCGGCGAUAGACCGUCGGUGGCCAAGCGAAAGCGAUAAGUUAUCCACCUGGGGAGUACGACCGCAAGGUUGAAACUCAAAGGAAUUGACGGGGGCCCGCACAAGCGGAGGAACAUGUGGUUUAAUUCGAUGAUACGCGAGGAACCUUACCCGGGCUCGAACGGUGCAUGAAUAAUACAGAGAUGGAUUAGUCCUUCGGGACAUGUAUCGAGGUGCUGCAUGGUUGUCGUCAGCUCGUGCCGUGAGGUGUCGGCUUAAGUGCCAUAACGAGCGCAACCCUUGUCAUUAGUUACCAUCAUGUCAAGCUGGGGACUCUAGUGAGACUGCCACCGUAGGGUGUGAGGAGGGGGGGGAUGACGUCAAAUCAGCACGGCCUUUAUGUCCGGGGCGACACACGUGUUACAAUGGGAGGUACAGAGGGCAGCCAGUUAGUGAUAACGCGCCAAUCUCAAAAACCUUUCUCAGUUCGGAUUGGAGUCUGCAACUCGA
RNAcentral lists this ribosomal RNA (691 nucleotides) under uncultured bacterium. RNAcentral describes it as "bacterial SSU rRNA". It matches the Rfam family "Bacterial small subunit ribosomal RNA", at positions 620 to 1315 of the family's 1533-position model. The record is from RNAcentral.